Molecule: ribosomal RNA, 233 nt
Filed under: uncultured bacterium
Lineage: Bacteria
Description: partial 16S ribosomal RNA
Rfam family: Bacterial small subunit ribosomal RNA
Source: RNAcentral
UGAGCAAUCUGCCCUUCUCUUCGGAAUAAGCGUUGGAAACGACGUCUAAUGCCGAAUACGACCUCCUUUCGCAUGAUCGGAGGUGGAAAGCUCCGGCGGAGAAGGAUGAGCUCGCGGCCUAUCAGCUGGUUGGUGUGGGUAAUGGCCCACCAAGGCGACGACGGGUAGCCGGCCUGAGAGGGUGACCGGCCACACUGGGACUGAGACACGGCCCAGACUCCUACGGGAGGNAG